RNAcentral lists this ribosomal RNA (712 nucleotides) under uncultured Bacteroidota bacterium. RNAcentral's name for it is "bacterial SSU rRNA". It matches the Rfam family "Bacterial small subunit ribosomal RNA", at positions 649 to 1364 of the family's 1533-position model. Lineage: Bacteria; Pseudomonadati; Bacteroidota. The record is from RNAcentral.
UAGUUGAGGUAGGCGGAAUGUGUAAUGUAGCGGUGAAACGCUUAGAUAUUACACAGAACACCGAUUGCGAAGGCAGCUUGCUAAACUAUUAUUGACGCUGAUGCACGAAAGCGUGGGGAGCGAACAGGAUUAGAUACCCUGGUAGUCCACGCUGUAAACGAUGAUCACUCGUUGUUUGCGAUAUAUUGUAAGCGACUGAGCGAAAGCAUUAAGUGAUCCACCUGGGGAGUACGUUCGCAAGAAUGAAACUCAAAGGAAUUGACGGGGGCCCGCACAAGCGGAGGAACAUGUGGUUUAAUUCGAUGAUACGCGAGGAACCUUACCUGGGUUUAAAUGUAGGUUGCAUGAGUGGGAAACUACUCUUUCCUUCGGGACUACUUACAAGGUGCUGCAUGGUUGUCGUCAGCUCGUGCCGUGAGGUGUCGGGUUAAGUCCCAUAACGAGCGCAACCCCUAUCGUUAGUUGCCAUCAGGUCAUGCUGGGGACUCUAACGAGACUGCCGGUGUAAACCGUGAGGAAGGUGGGGAUGACGUCAAAUCAGCACGGCCCUUAUAUCCAGGGCUACACACGUGUUACAAUGGUCGAUACAAAGAGCAGCCACUUGGUGACAAGGCGCUAAUCUCUAAAGUCGAUCACAGUUCGGAUCGAAGUCUGCAACUCGACUUCGUGAAGUUGGAUUCGCUAGUAAUCGCGCAUCAGCCACGGCGCGGUG